AUUGAACGCUGGCGGCAGGCUUAACACAUGCAAGUCGAGCGGGGUGAUGGUGCUUGCACUAUCACUUAGCGGCGGACGGGUGAGUAAUGCUUAGGAAUCUGCCUAUUAGUGGGGGACAACAUCUCGAAAGGGAUGCUAAUACCGCAUACGUCCUACGGGAGAAAGCAGGGGAUCACUUGUGACCUUGCGCUAAUAGAUGAGCCUAAGUCGGAUUAGCUAGUUGGUGGGGUAAAGGCCUACCAAGGCGACGAUCUGUAGCGGGUCGGAGAGGAUGAUCCGCCACACUGGGACUGAGACACGGCCCAGACUCCUACGGGAGGCAGCAGUGGGGAAUAUUGGACAAUGGGGGGAGCCCUGAUCCAGCCAUGCCGCGUGUGUGAAGAAGGCCUUAUGGUUGUAAAGCACUUUAAGCGAGGAGGAGGCUCUUUUGGUUAAUACCCAAGAUGAGUGGACGUUACUCGCAGAAUAAGCACCGGCUAACUCUGUGCCAGCCGCCGCGGUAA
This 503-nucleotide ribosomal RNA is filed under the name uncultured bacterium. Its description in RNAcentral is "partial 16S ribosomal RNA". It matches the Rfam family "Bacterial small subunit ribosomal RNA", at positions 30 to 523 of the family's 1533-position model. The record is from RNAcentral.